This 301-nucleotide ribosomal RNA is filed under the name uncultured bacterium. RNAcentral's name for it is "partial 16S ribosomal RNA". It matches the Rfam family "Bacterial small subunit ribosomal RNA", at positions 509 to 809 of the family's 1533-position model. The record is from RNAcentral.
CAGCCGCCGCGGGAAUACGGAGGAUCCAAGCGUUAUCCGGAAUCAUUGGGUUUAAAGGGUCCGUAGGCGGUCUUGUAAGUCAGUGGUGAAAGCCCAUCGCUCAACGGUGGAACGGCCAUUGAUACUGCAGGACUUGAAUUAUUGGGAAGUAACUAGAAUAUGUAGUGUAGCGGUGAAAUGCUUAGAGAUUACAUGGAAUACCAAUUGCGAAGGCAGGUUACUACCAAUUGAUUGACGCUGAUGGACGAAAGCGUGGGUAGCGAACAGGAUUAGAUACCCCAGUAGUCCCUGUCUCUUAUAU